This 3690-nucleotide ribosomal RNA is filed under the name Triticum aestivum (bread wheat). RNAcentral's name for it is "partial small subunit ribosomal RNA". Lineage: Eukaryota; Viridiplantae; Streptophyta; Magnoliopsida; Poales; Poaceae. The record is from RNAcentral.
AUGCAUUUGAGUAGCAAAAGGGCUGCUUACCUGAAAAUAGCGAACUGCAUUGUCAUAUCAAGACGAACUGCGGAACGCGUGGUUUGGCCUGUGUUUUGUGUAUGUCUUCUAAUGUGGAUUGCAUUUCCCUUUACACAGAGGAAGAAGUCUAGUAAGAGCAAUGCAGCUCAAGAUGAUGCUGAGGGAGAUGAUUCUCGAUUUAACAAGACCGUACGUUUGUCGCUUCCCACUGUUUGCAAGGCUGCUGCCUUGUUGAAAGAGGCACACUAUAGUCGUGUUCGGGAUGCUGGAUUUGGUGUUGUCUUUGAACUGACAGUAAAGAAAAAUGUGUCGCGCAUUCUUAUGUGCUAUCUGAUGGGAGUGAUUGACCCUGCCACCAUGAUAAUGGACUUUGGGAAUGGCAGGGUUCUUCGAAUCAAUCGUGAUGCAGUUCAUCACAUUUUUGAUUUACCCAUGGGACGGCACACUGCACCCAUGCCUGCUGCCAGUGGCCAUGAUGACUCGUUGAGUGCCCUCAAGGAUGAGCUUGGCUUUGACCGUUCAAAAAGUAUAGGUGUCAAGGACUUGCUUGAGAAGUUGAAGGCGUUGGUGGAGGAAGAUGAUCAUGUGACUGUUGACCUUGCUGUUAAGGUGUUCUUCCUGAUACUCUACCAGAAUUUGCUGUGCCCCGGGCCUGCAGUUCAUUUGGGUAGAGUUGCUGCAAUGGUAGAGAACAUGGAUUAUGCGGCUAUGGACUUUUGCCAGCUUGUUGUUGAUGAGUUGCAGGCAGCUGUGGUGAGGUGGCAAACAGAAGGCAGCAAGCAGAAUUGUGCAGAGGGUUGUGCCAUUGUCCCCCUGAUUAUGUAUCUUGACUGCUUGAAGCUUCACAAAUUUUCAGUCAUGCACACGUUGACGCCACGUGCGUCAUACCUGACGACCAAGGACCUGAUGAAGUUAUACAAUGAGGAUGUGCUUGUGACGGGAAAGAUUUACUUGGAAACUUACAAAUUUGGGAAGCCGCCGUCGAAGGCGUCAGGUGAUAUUGUGUACAACCGUCCUGUUGCAGUUACAUUUGUUGGCGGCAAAAAACACGAGGAGAUUGAUAAGCUUCUUGUGAAGGUUUUGAAGUUGACUAAAGAUUUGCCAACCUCUGGUGACAGGUUGACGACAGUUGCUCAUUUUUUCCAUGUUGGCCAUGGCCCACGAGAUGAAGAUAUUGUUGCUGCUCACAAUUUUGAUUGUGGCGUGAUUGAAAGCCUGAAGAUUGCAGUGACGAAUGUUCGGUCUUCCUAUGCUCAAUUGAGUCAUACACAGGAGGAAAAAUGCGGUCGGUAUGAGAAGGAUGCUGGGCAUAUUUUGAAUGAAAUGAACCGUCAGGACGCUGGUGUUGGCGCUGAUAAUGCUGGAGUGGAAUCUGCUGGUGUCCAUGGAACCAGGGACGAUAGAAUUGGUCAGACUGGUGUUGCUGCUUGUGAUGUGCACAAAGAGUCCUACGAUGGAUCUGGGAAGGAUGAGGUCUUGGCUGAUGCAUCGUCCCCUCCGGAUGUUGUAGAUGAUAAGCCUAGAGAAGAAAACGUGGAAGUUCACGUUGAUCUGAAUCAGGGCGGUUGUGCUGUUGAUGGUGGUGGCAGUGUUGGUGCUUCUGCAUCGGUUGCGGUCGACCGUGUAGACCCUUCUGUAGCUCAAGAAUCCCAUGAUGCUAUUUCCCCCAGCCGGCAUGAAGAUUCUGAAUUUGGCAUUGAAAAGCCGCUGGAGAAUGUCGUCCCUACUGUUAGUGUUAUUGCUUCCCGUGUUUGUCUGGCGGCCAAUGAUGUUCCUGAAACUGUUGUAAAUCCAGAUAAUGCUGAUGUUGCUGCAGAUGGACAGUCCAAUGAUGUUGUGUUGGAUUCGUUGCAACCUAUCCAAGAAAAUGUAUUGGUCAGCUCUGAAGAACAACAGCAUGAAGACUCUGACACUGAAGGCAAGAGUUUUGUUUUGAACAAUGACGAACUUCCUGUUGUGACACCGUCGAGCAUUGAUCCAGCUCUCCUUAAAAGAUACAAUGAGUUGUGCGCUUCUGUUACGAGGGUUCGGAUGGACAAGAAGAAGAAGUAUGUUUUUCAUGAAAAAUUCAGGGACAUGAUUGCUUUUAAAACUGAGAUGGGUGAUAUUACCAUUGGCGAAGUUGGUCAAUCAUUUUGGGAUAAAGGGAUGCUCACUACGAGACUUGUAGAUCUUGGGGUUUCUUUGUUGGUAGAUAAGUUUAAGGGAUCUCCGACAAUGGUUGUCCCCUACCAUAUUUGUGCAAAUAUUUGGAAUGGUGGUACUGUAGGCAGGAGUGUUAAAAUGAUAUUCUCUUCAAAAGCCGAGGUGCGUGUUGAUAAAAAGGAUAUGGUCCUUUUUGCAACUUUUGAUCCGCCAAAUAUGAGGGAUGGCGUUGGUCAUUAUUGUGUAGUUGUGUUAAAUGUGAAAGAAAGGCGGUUUGAAUUUCUUGACUCGCUCAAUAAACCUGGCAGCGCUGAUGCGAUCAGGGUUUUUAGGAGGAUGGUUAAAAAUAUCAAGCGUGCAUGGAAAGAAGGAAGCUCAAGUUCUGAUGAGCCGCUAAAUCCUCCUACACUUGAUGGAUUUGUGUUGAAACAUGUCAUUGUCCCAAUACAGCCAAAUGGGCAUGAUUGUGGAUUCUAUAUGUUUCAAUUCUUGCAGACAUGGGAUGGUGUUCGAGUUGCUCAGUUUGGGGUGGAGCACAUUGGCUACAUCAGAAAGGCCAUGCUGUAUAGUUGGCUCACAUCAAGAAAUGAGAUGAAUUUUAUUUUUUGGGCAAGUUUUGAUGGUGGGCUUCAUGAAGGCUGUACGUCACUGUUCGAGUCCCAGGGUUCUGAGGUGGUUAUGGAGGAUUGUGUCAUUGAAAUCUCUCUAGAUAAUUCUGGUUCUUUGGCUGGAGAUGGUUUGAACACGGUUGUGGCGUCUGGACCUGAUGGUGGAAGUGUUUCUCGACCUAGCUCUCCACGCGAUGUAUUUGAUGUUGAUGAUGAUGAUUUUGUUACGCCGUGUCCUCGCGCCACUAGGGCUAGGAGUGCAACAAUUAAUCGCCCUCCUGAGGAUGACGUUGAAAUAUUUUCGAACAAGAGGGCAGGUGAGAGGGAUUUUAAGUUGAGAUGCUCUAUAGAGAAAUUGAAGCCUCCGAGGUUCAAAUAUAUUGAUGAGGCGAGGAAAAUAAAGGAUCUUGUUCUGAGCAAAGAUUUUGUAACCAAAUACCGCGAGAAUGCGUUCUUUAUGUAUGUUCUUCAGAUGGAAACCUUUGUGACGAAAGAUGAUGAAGUCAACCCUGUGUUGCCAGUAGUGCAUAGCACGUUUGUUUUACAAGAUGUAGUUAACCAGUUCAAGGUUCUUGUGAGUGACGACGUAAACCUGUUGGACGCAAAACUGAUCCCCCCAGCUAGGAUUUACAACCUCGCAACCGCGAGGAUGUAUACCCUCAUCUGCUUCUCAGACAGCCCUCCGGGAGGCGGUCGAACAGCCCCCCGGACGGUGUCGCGGACAGCCCUUCGGGAGGACCUUCGAAACUCGAACGGUCACUCGGACAGCCCUUCGGGAGGACCUUCGAAACUCGGACGGUCACACGGACAGCCCUUCGGGAGGCACUCACGAACUAAGACCGAAACUACGAUCUCUCUACAGAGUUGCACACAUACGGUGUCAUCUAUCCGGCAGGGCUUCGCCGUCCAGAACUAG